GGAGGGGUGGCAGAGCGGUUGAAUGCGACGGUCUUGAAAACCGUUAUCCGCCUUCAGGCGGAUCGUGGGUUCGAAUCCCACCCCCUCCGCCA
RNAcentral lists this transfer RNA (92 nucleotides) under Dehalococcoidia bacterium. Its description in RNAcentral is "tRNA-Ser". It matches the Rfam family "tRNA". From Rfam's summary of the family: Transfer RNA (tRNA) molecules are approximately 80 nucleotides in length. Their secondary structure includes four short double-helical elements and three loops (D, anti-codon, and T loops). The record is from RNAcentral. Lineage: Bacteria; Bacillati; Chloroflexota; Dehalococcoidia.